CCUACGGGAGGCAGCAGUAGGGAAUCUUCCGCAAUGGACGAAUGUCUGACGGAGCAACGCCGCGUGAACGAAGAAGGCCUUCGGGUCGUAAAGUUCUGUUGUUAGGGAAGAACAAGUACCAGAGUAACUGCUGGUACCUUGACGGUACCUAACCAGAAAGCCACGGCUAACUACGUGCCAGCAGCCGCGGUAAUACGUAGGUGGCAAGCGUUGUCCGGAAUUAUUGGGCGUAAAGCACGCGCAGGUGGUUCCUUAAGUCUGAUGUGAAAGCCCACGGCUCAACCGUGGAGGGUCAUUGGAAACUGGGGAACUUGAGUGUAGAAGAGGAAAGUGGAAUUCCAAGUGUAGCGGUGAAAUGCGUAGAGAUUUGGAGGAACACCAGUGGCGAAGGCGACUUUCUGGUCUGUAACUGACACUGAGGCGCGAAAGCGUGGGGAGCAAACAGGAUUAGAUACCCUGGUAGUCCACGCCGUAAACGAUGAGCGCUAAGUGUUAGAGGGUUUCCGCCCUUUAGUGCUGCAGCUACGACAUAAGACACUCCGCCGUCGGGAGGUACGGCCGGCCGAACGGACGUGUAAACGUUAAAGUUAAGUUAAGUUAGUACGGUUCGUUGAGACGUUGCCGAGGACGACGACGAGGGAGGAGG
This 646-nucleotide ribosomal RNA is filed under the name uncultured bacterium. RNAcentral describes it as "bacterial SSU rRNA". The stretch from base 1 to 544 matches the Rfam family "Bacterial small subunit ribosomal RNA", at positions 338 to 873 of the family's 1533-position model. The record is from RNAcentral.